CUUCAACGAGCCCAGCCACAACGGCUGUUGGGCGGUCCGGGCCUGUCCGUACGUGGCCAGCAGAGCCUGCGCCUC
This 75-nucleotide antisense RNA is filed under the name Streptomyces sp. OK228. RNAcentral's name for it is "ASpks TB sRNA". It matches the Rfam family "ASpks TB sRNA". The record is from RNAcentral. Lineage: Bacteria; Bacillati; Actinomycetota; Actinomycetes; Kitasatosporales; Streptomycetaceae.